Long non-coding RNA from Rosa rugosa (rugosa rose), 1340 nucleotides. RefSeq lists it as uncharacterized. The transcript is spliced from 3 exons. The record is from RefSeq and is a predicted model, not a curated record. NCBI's taxonomy places the organism in Eukaryota, Viridiplantae, Streptophyta, Magnoliopsida, Rosales, Rosaceae.
UCUCCUCCGCACAGAGACACAGACCUCGAGAGAGUGUGAAUGGCGAAGAACAACGCGUCUUUGGAAUCGGUGUACGAGUUCUUGAAGCGGUGACGACUCGCCGGUAAUCGGAUCCCUCCAGAUCGUUCAGCUCAGCUCCUCCGCUUCCUCUCCCUCCGAUCUCAUCACGUAAGCAACAAACCCAUCUCUCGCCGGCGAUUCGAAUUUCAAAACCCUUGCUUAUCCACUCUCGCUUGCUGCAACGUCGUUUCGAAUCGGCGCGCUUUCGAUACGCGUCGUCAUCGUCGACUCCACUUCACACCACCAUGCCUCGCGCCACCAUCGACUUCUGCCUCCAUCACCGUGAUGACGGACCAAUCACAUCCCGCCACCUCGAAUUCGGUAUCUACGGCGGAGAAGCCGCUGCCAAUACCGGCUGUAGCCUAUUUGAUGCGUACGUAAACAAGACCUUGGACAUGAUUGAGGGUUUUUGAUUCGGGUUUGUGAUUGGUGGUUUUUGCAGGUAUUUUUGCAUUGGUGAGCGAGAAGGACAGUAAGAGGCAUAAUACCAUUGAAGAAACUUAGAAAUGGUCCCCAGGUCACCAAAUUUGUAUUCCUGUAUAUUUACACUUUCAUCAAUUUUCAGCUCAAGCUUUAUAAUCAUAGCCGAGAAAGGAAUGAAUUGUUUAAUGAGAAAAAGAGUUUGAUGUUUAUGUUGACUGGUGGUAAUGGAUUGAAAUGGGUUGUGGGUGCCGUCAAUUGGAACUAUCUAUAUAGUGCUAAUAUACAUUGUAACUUAAUGGUUGGUUGCGAUUCGUGGAGCAUAUUUGUAGCUUUAGAUUUGAUAUACAAUGUCAUAGUGUUCAGUUUUUUGUUUGUCUUAUAUGUUUGCAGACUUGGAAUUAAGUUUAGUUCUGUUAGUGUAGAACAGUGAGUAAGAGUUUGUUUUUAAGUGAAAUUAUGUUUACCAUAGUGGUUUAGAUUAUGGAAAAUCAUACAGGAGGAGAAAAAGAAGUACAAUGAUCUUGAUUUCUACUCUUGCAUCUUUGUAGGGAUCACGAUGAGCUGAGAAGAGUAAUGGUGCUAAACAUAUUCCAAUGAGUGAGCUGAUGGAUGGGUCUGAACCUACUGUUGAGAUAAAAAUAAAGACAUUGGAUCGCAAACCUAUACUCUCAAAGAGCAUAAAGAGAAGCAAUGUCUUGCACGGAGAGCACUUCUCAUGGGCGGUAUCAUGAAGGGACUUGUUCAUGUGACAGAUUGUGGUAUUUUUCUCAAGGUUAGUGUUAAUGUUAUUUUGAACCUUAUGUCUGACGUAUCCUGACAGGACCCGCCCCGAAUUUCACCCUGAAAUCCGAGGUGGC